Molecule: ribosomal RNA, 427 nt
Filed under: uncultured beta proteobacterium
Lineage: Bacteria; Pseudomonadati; Pseudomonadota; Betaproteobacteria
Description: bacterial SSU rRNA
Rfam family: Bacterial small subunit ribosomal RNA
Source: RNAcentral
UGGGGAAUUUUGGACAAUGGGCGAAAGCCUGAUCCAGCCAUGCCGCGUGAGUGAAGAAGGCCUUCGGGUUGUAAAGCUCUUUUAUUCGGAAAGAAAGAGUUGCAAUGAAUAAUUGUGAUUUAUGACGGUACCGACAGAAAAAGCACCGGCUAACUACGUGCCAGCAGCCGCGGUAAUACGUAGGGUGCGAGCGUUAAUCGGAAUUACUGGGCGUAAAGGGUGCGCAGGCGGUUUUGCAAGUCAGAUGUGAAAGCCCCGGGCUUAACCUGGGAAUUGCGUUUGAAACUACAAGGCUAGAGUGCAGCAGAGGGGAGUGGAAUUCCAUGUGUAGCAGUGAAAUGCGUAGAGAUGUGGAAGAACACCGAUGGCGAAGGCAGCUCCCUGGGUUGACACUGACGCUCAUGCACGAAAGCGUGGGGAGCAAACA